Molecule: non-coding RNA, 876 nt
Organism: Theobroma cacao (cacao)
Lineage: Eukaryota; Viridiplantae; Streptophyta; Magnoliopsida; Malvales; Malvaceae
Source: RefSeq, a predicted model, not a curated record
AAUGCUGAAGGCUUGAGUUUACCUCAAAAUUUAAAGACGUCGGCUCUAGUGGCUUAUUCUGAUAUGGAAAUGGAGCAUUAAACAUUGGUUAGGUUUUGAUACCCAGGAAAAAGAAACUUGGACCAGAAAUGGCUUAACGGGUCCUCUCAGAUUUUCCCACUUUGUUUUCGAGGAGCAAUAUAGGUUGCCAAGGUUUCACCAGACGGAGACACCUGCAGCUAUACGUGGCAUCUUACUGCUGGAACUAUAAAGGGGACCAACAGACAACAGAUGACAUGUUUCAGUAACGGCCUCAGCCUCCAUGGCUUGGCCCAGAUGGAAAUUCCAGACAGGAAUGAUGGGAAAUCAAAGAUGUUACAAGGGGAUUGCAAGAUGAGGCAGACAUGAUGGCUGAUAUAUCAGCUUUAUGACUUGUGCUAAGAACCUGUCUUUGAUAUCAUUCAAUUUAUUGACGACAAAAGUCAUAAUCAUCCGCUCAGUUGGUGAUGCUGCAGAACAGGAGAGUCCCAUUUUCAUGACAGGAACUACGAAUUCUUCGACCAUGCUUGCAGCACUGACACGGGGAUGGGGUUUCCUCAUCAUGAUCAACUCUGUCUCUUCUGCGUUCUCUUCUUCGGAAAGCAUAGAUAGGUCAACAACAUCCAUGACAUGUUCGGGCAAGGCUACUUCGACGAAAUUGUGAAGGCUCUGAUCGUCUUUGAACAUGUCAUCUGUUGGACUUUUACCUGUAAACAUCUCCAGUAACAGUAUCCCAUAGCUGUAAAUAUCUCCGUGUAUUGAAGCUUGACCACCUAUGCCAUACUCUGCAACUUGUAACAGAUUUUAAUUAGUCAUUGAAUUUUGGCAAUUUCAUGUGUGCUAAUGUACACACAAACA